AUGAACGCUAGCUACAGGCUUAACACAUGCAAGUCGAGGGGCAGCAUGGUCUUAGCUUGCUAAGGCCGAUGGCGACCGGCGCACGGGUGAGUAACACGUAUCCAACCUGCCGUCUACUCUUGGACAGCCUUCUGAAAGGAAGAUUAAUACAAGAUGGCAUCAUGAGUCCGCAUGUUCACAUGAUUAAAGGUAUUCCGGUAGACGAUGGGGAUGCGUUCCAUUAGAUAGUAGGCGGGGUAACGGCCCACCUAGUCUUCGAUGGAUAGGGGUUCUGAGAGGAAGGUCCCCCACAUUGGAACUGAGACACGGUCCAAACUCCUACGGGAGGCAGCAGUGAGGAAUAUUGGUCAAUGGGCGAGAGCCUGAACCAGCCAAGUAGCGUGAAGGAUGACUGCCCUAUGGGUUGUAAACUUCUUUUAUAAAGGAAUAAAGUCGGGUAUGGAUACCCGUUUGCAUGUACUUUAUGAAUAAGGAUCGGCUAACUCCGUGCCAGCAGCCGCGGUAAUACGGAGGAUCCGAGCGUUAUCCGGAUUUAUUGGGUUUAAAGGGAGCGUAGAUGGAUGUUUAAGUCAGUUGUGAAAGUUUGCGGCUCAACCGUAAAAUUGCAGUUGAUACUGGAUAUCUUGAGUGCAGUUGAGGCAGGCGGAAUUCGUGGUGUAGCGGUGAAAUGCUUAGAUAUCACGAAGAACUCCGAUUGCGAAGGCAGCCUGCUAAGCUGCAACUGACAUUGAGGCUCGAAAGUGUGGGUAU
Molecule: ribosomal RNA, 750 nt
Filed under: uncultured Bacteroidales bacterium
Lineage: Bacteria; Pseudomonadati; Bacteroidota; Bacteroidia; Bacteroidales
Description: bacterial SSU rRNA
Rfam family: Bacterial small subunit ribosomal RNA
Source: RNAcentral